GACGAACGCUGGCGGCGUGCUUAACACAUGCAAGUCGAACGGUAAGGCCCUUCGGGGUACACGAGUGGCGAACGGGUGAGUAACACGUGGGUGAUCUGCCCUGCACUUCGGGAUAAGCCUGGGAAACUGGGUCUAAUACCGGAUAGGACCCUGGGAUGCAUGUCCUGGGGUGGAAAGCUUUUGCGGUGUGGGAUGGGCCCGCGGCCUAUCAGCUUAUUGGUGGGGUCAUGGCCUACCAAGGCGACGACGGGUAGCCGGCCUGAGAGGGUGACCGGCCACACUGGGACGGAGAUACGGCCCAGACUCCUACGGGAGGCAGCAGUGGGGAAUAUUGCACAAUGGGCGCAAGCCUGAUGCAGCGACGCCGCGUGAGGGAUGACGGCCUUCGGGUUGUAAACCUCUUUCAGUAGGGACGAAGCGCAAGUGACGGUACCUACAGAAGAAGGACCGGCCAACUACGUGCCAGCCGCCGCCGUAA
RNAcentral lists this ribosomal RNA (478 nucleotides) under uncultured bacterium. Its description in RNAcentral is "partial 16S ribosomal RNA". It matches the Rfam family "Bacterial small subunit ribosomal RNA", at positions 28 to 523 of the family's 1533-position model. The record is from RNAcentral.